GUUUGAUCAUGGCUCAGAUUGAACGCUGGCGGCAGGCCUAACACAUGCAAGUCGAACGGUAACAGGGAUCAGCUUGCUGAUUCGCUGACGAGUGGCGGACGGGUGAGUAAUGUCUGGGAAACUGCCUGAUGGAGGGGGAUAACUACUGGAAACGGUAGCUAAUACCGCAUAACGUCGCAAGACCAAAGAGGGGGACCUUCGGGCCUCUUG
RNAcentral lists this ribosomal RNA (210 nucleotides) under Escherichia coli. RNAcentral describes it as "partial 16S ribosomal RNA". It matches the Rfam family "Bacterial small subunit ribosomal RNA", at positions 11 to 217 of the family's 1533-position model. Lineage: Bacteria; Pseudomonadati; Pseudomonadota; Gammaproteobacteria; Enterobacterales; Enterobacteriaceae. The record is from RNAcentral.